CUUUAUGAGGUGCAACCAAAACAGCUGUUAGACAUUGCAACAGGGAUAUUCUGGCAGGGUGUCUGUCUAGCAUUAGUUCUGAAUACGAUUGUGGUUUUGAUCACUAAAAUGGCUGUGACUUUUGGACUCUCUUUGAGUGUUUCUUGGAUUUGUUGCCUGCUAAUUGGUGGGAUAACGUGUUUUACCCUUCAAGGUGCUUAUGGGCAUCCUGCCUCCACUGGAGCCCAAGCGAGUGUGGUGUCUGUUCCAAAUGCUAAAGCUACUGGCCACAAUAGCUCGGCAAAUGUGACGUCGGGUCGAAAUGCCUCAGCAGGAGCGACCGGCCCCCGCGCCUCAGCAGGAGCGACCGGCCCCCGCGCCUCAGCAGAAGCGACCUGCGCCUCAGCAGAAGCAUCUGGCCCCCGCGCCUCAGCAGAAGCGACCGGCCCCCGCGCCUCAGCAGAAGCGACCGGCCCCCGCGCCUCAGCAGAAGCGACCCGCGCCUCAGCAGAAGCAUCUGGCCCCCGCGCCUCAGCAGAAGCGACCGCGCC
This is a long non-coding RNA of Oncorhynchus tshawytscha (Chinook salmon), 530 nucleotides long. Lineage: Eukaryota; Metazoa; Chordata; Actinopteri; Salmoniformes; Salmonidae. The record is from Ensembl.